AUUGAACGCUGGCGGCAUGCCUUACACAUGCAAGUCGAGCGGUAACAGGUCUUCGGAUGCUGACGAGUGGCGAACGGGUGAGUAAUAUAUCGGAACGUGCCCAGUCGUGGGGGAUAACGCAGCGAAAGCUGUGCUAAUACCGCAUACGAUCUAUGGAUGAAAGCGGGGGAUCGCAAGACCUCGCGCGAUUGGAGCGGCCGAUAUCAGAUUAGGUAGUUGGUGGGGUAAAGGCCCACCAAGCCAACGAUCUGUAGCUGGUCUGAGAGGACGACCAGCCACACUGGAACUGAGACACGGUCCAGACUCCUACGGGAGGCAGCAGUGGGGAAUUUUGGACAAUGGGCGCAAGCCUGAUCCAGCAAUGCCGCGUGCAGGAUGAAGGCCUUCGGGUUGUAAACUGCUUUUGUACGGAACGAAAAGGCUCUGGUUAAUACCUGGGGCUCAUGACGGUACCGUAAGAAUAAGCACCGGCUAACUACGUG
This 482-nucleotide ribosomal RNA is filed under the name uncultured bacterium. RNAcentral describes it as "bacterial SSU rRNA". It matches the Rfam family "Bacterial small subunit ribosomal RNA", at positions 30 to 507 of the family's 1533-position model. The record is from RNAcentral.